CAGGGAAUAGUUUAAGAAAAAUUAAUGCUUUGGGAGCUUUAGAUAAGGGUUCUUUUCUCUGA
Molecule: transfer RNA, 62 nt
Filed under: Narceus annularis
Lineage: Eukaryota; Metazoa; Arthropoda; Diplopoda; Spirobolida; Spirobolidae
Description: Narceus annularus tRNA-Pro
Source: RNAcentral